GCCGAUGUAGCUCAGUUGGCUAGAGCGUGUGAGUUGUAAUCUCAAGUUCGUGGGUUCGAUUCCCUCCAUCGGCU
Molecule: transfer RNA, 74 nt
Filed under: Oscillospiraceae bacterium
Lineage: Bacteria; Bacillati; Bacillota; Clostridia; Eubacteriales; Oscillospiraceae
Description: tRNA-Thr
Rfam family: tRNA
About the family: Transfer RNA (tRNA) molecules are approximately 80 nucleotides in length. Their secondary structure includes four short double-helical elements and three loops (D, anti-codon, and T loops). Further hydrogen bonds mediate the characteristic L-shaped molecular structure. tRNAs have two regions of fundamental functional importance: the anti-codon, which is responsible for specific mRNA codon recognition, and the 3' end, to which the tRNAs corresponding amino acid is attached (by aminoacyl-tRNA synthetases). tRNAs cope with the degeneracy of the genetic code in two manners: having more than one tRNA (with a specific anti-codon) for a particular amino acid; and 'wobble' base-pairing, i.e. permitting non-standard base-pairing at the 3rd anti-codon position.
Source: RNAcentral